CCACGAUGUUCAACCUGUUGGCUUUGCCCCUCAGCUCCAGUCUCCUGGUGCCGGACAAUAUGGGCCCGCGGGCUUACCAUAUCAGUCAGGUCCUCUCGGAUUUGGACCAAAUGUGAACUAUGGUGGUGGUGACGUGUUUGUUGGACCACAAGGUCACGGUGGAAAAGGGAAGCCUGCUGGGAAACAUGGUUUGUUUGCUCUCCCAGAGGAAAAAAUAGUGUAGAAUUUGAUUAAUUUUGUUCUUUUAGCAGAUAAUUUGGCACACCACCAAGGCCAGCCUCUCCAAUCGGC
Molecule: long non-coding RNA, 291 nt
Organism: Syngnathus typhle (broad-nosed pipefish)
Lineage: Eukaryota; Metazoa; Chordata; Actinopteri; Syngnathiformes; Syngnathidae
Exons: 3
Source: RefSeq, a predicted model, not a curated record